AGGCAUUCAUUGCUAUGAACUUCCCUCUUAGAAUUGCAUUUGCGGCAUCCCAUAAGUUUUGGAAGAAAAAUUUCACUAGACGAUGUGCUGUAUGAUGUCUUCAAGAAUUCUUUCUUGGCUGUCAGCUCUGAAACCCGUGAAUCCCCCAUCACCCCGAAACCUCAUCAUCUGUGCUAUGGUCAACACCAUCUGCUGCACCUGGAUUAACACUUUUGGAGAAGUUGGAAGUUCAAUUAUAUAAGAUCACUGAGCAAGCAACUUGGCUUAAAAAGGGCAGGCUUGACCCAAAACUGGAAGGAUGUGGAGUGGGAAGGACCCAUCAUCUGCUUUACUUCUCUCUCCUCACCUUUCUG
Long non-coding RNA from Neofelis nebulosa (Clouded leopard), 353 nucleotides. RefSeq lists it as uncharacterized. The record is from RefSeq and is a predicted model, not a curated record. Lineage: Eukaryota; Metazoa; Chordata; Mammalia; Carnivora; Felidae. The transcript is spliced from 4 exons.